AGCGUCUACCCUUAAAAUUAGCUAAGGUAACUUCUCUUGUAACAUCAUAGCACGAGUACCAUUCCCUAGCCUUGUACUUAAACAUCAGACACUAUUUAUUUAACUGUCUUGCCCAUUCGACUGUAUGUUCUUUGAGGACAAGAAGCUUUUUAUUUAUUCAAAUACCUGCACAGAGACUUCAUAGUAAAUUCAAUAAAUGUCAAACUGAAUGAAGUGGAAUUUAAGGGAGGCAGAUCUUUUUCUAUGAACCCCAAUUCAAAGAUUAAAGAAAUUGCUGCUCAAAGUAGAACCAAAUGCUUUGAAUUAACUAUCCUUUAAGUCAGAGAGUUUUAAAGAAAAGGUUUUUAGUCAAAGAGUUUCUUACAUUCUAAGAGAAUUUGGCUUAUCCAUGACCAAUACCUCUUAACUCCAAAAUGUAAUCCCCUGUAAAUCCUGUUCCGCUUGAAACACGGUGUGUUUCUGAGAACUACAAGAGAGAAUCCAACGUCUGACAUUUUCUUCUUUUCAGUCAAGACUUUUCUCUACUGUGAUCCUCCCUGGGUCUUUCUUCAAGUUUCUAAGAAGGUACUAGGAAACAGACUUCUCAUUAAGAAAAGAAUAACAUUCCCAGACCCUAUUUCCUUCAACGGCUUAACUACAGUUCCUUCUCUUCUUCAAGGCAAGAGGGUUCUUCUAAAACAGCUUUCACUGAACAGUGAACACUGUUGCUGUGUUGCAAAGAUGAAAGCAAAAUUUCAUGUGUGAAGCCCAAACUGAAAUCACAGAAGGCAGGAUUCACAGUGCUAAUUGUUGCUUAGCAAUAAAAUGUGCAAAACCUGCUAAUGGAACAGUGACACUAGGCACCGGAGGAAUUCGUAUCCACACUGGCAGUAAAUCAGGGAAUUAGACAGCCAACAGUAACAGCAAGAAAAGGAAUUCCAUCCCUUAGGAACCCUGAGAGGGUUUCUGCACUCAUCCCUGCUUACUGCUCAUUGAAAAGACUUUGUCUAUUAGAUACUGCUAUUAUGACGCCUGAACACUGAGAGGAAAUAGAUGCUCAGAGGUUCAGGUUAUCCUAAGAGUUCCUGAUGAAUUUGCACAUGACUAAAAAAAAAUAGUAUUGUUUCAUUUUCCCUGUAGAAAAGAUUUGCAGUAAAGGCAGACCUUCAAAUCCCAGCUUGUAUGUUUGCUAAGGGAGCAGAGUGGGACAAGAAGCUUCUGUCACUGCCACCUCAUCACAGGUGUUCUGUGGGUGGUAGUUAUGCCUCCAGCAUAAAGACCGCAUGUCAAGAACCAAAACAAACAAACAAAGACCUGGCAGUGUAGGAAUAAUCUAAUAGUGGGGCUUAACCUGAGAAAUAACUCCAGCCUUUUCUGGUUGGGCUCUGCUUUGGUUUUGUUCUACCUUUAUUUGCUCCUGAAAGGGUUUCCAAGAUAAAAUGUUCCAAGUUGUCUGACAAGGAAUCAGUGUUUACCUGUUAUCUGCAAUUUCUCUGAUUACAUUUAAAUCAACAGGAUGGUGGGCAGGCAGGGGAUGCUUAGGGAUUAAGUAAGUAGAAACGCACGUCAUAUGAAAUCAACUUUGAGGAAAAAAAUUAUAUCAAAAAAAGACAGCAAAUGCUUUCAGAGAGAGAUAAGGAUCCCCACAUACCUGCCCAAAUUUGGCAUUGUUAGUCUUUUAAUGCACUAUACUGGUGAAGUAUUGUGAUUUUAAUUUGCAUUUUUUAAUGACUAGGGAUACUGAAAAUCUUUUUUAAUGUUUAAGAUGCUUUUUACCAGGAGGUGACUGCUGAGCAACAGGUGCUGAGAAGUCAAGCCACAGUCUGCCUUUCCUUAGAAUCUCUCUCAAUAAACCCUUGUUGAUAAUACCUAUGUGUCCUACUCUUUGCUAACUGCGUUGGGCAAUACAAAUAUUUGUGUGUGAUCCCUUGCUUGGUAACAAUGUAGAAAAUAUAAUAUGCAUGAGCCAGUGGCAGACUUACAAGAGAUUAUAUAAAAGCUAUAAAGCACUUUAGGAAGCCAAGGCUGGAGGAUUGCUUGAGCUCAGGAGCUCAAGGCCAGCCUGGGCAACAUAGUGAGACCUUGACUCUACAAAAAUAAAUAAAUAAAAAUAAAAUAGCCAGGCAUCUUACUGCAUGUCUGUAGUCCAAACUACUCAGAAGGGUAAGGAGGGAGGAUCAGUUGAGCCCAGAACUUCGAGGAUGCAGUAAGCCAUGAUCACACCGCUGCACUCCUGCCUGGGGGACAAAGCAAGACCUUGUCUCAAAAAAAACAAGGCUAUCAGAAUCUGAAUAGUGAAACAGAUUCAUUUAUUUUGCAGUUAUCUAGCUUGCCUUUAAUGACAACCUAUUAUUCCCUAAAUUGGCGAAUGAAAAAAUCCGGAUGCUUAGC
Molecule: long non-coding RNA, 2370 nt
Filed under: Callithrix jacchus (white-tufted-ear marmoset)
Lineage: Eukaryota; Metazoa; Chordata; Mammalia; Primates; Cebidae
Description: lncRNA (ENSCJAG00000077939.1)
Source: RNAcentral